RNAcentral lists this transfer RNA (73 nucleotides) under Ictidomys tridecemlineatus (thirteen-lined ground squirrel). RNAcentral's name for it is "Spermophilus tridecemlineatus (thirteen-lined ground squirrel) tRNA". It matches the Rfam family "tRNA". From Rfam's summary of the family: Transfer RNA (tRNA) molecules are approximately 80 nucleotides in length. Their secondary structure includes four short double-helical elements and three loops (D, anti-codon, and T loops). Lineage: Eukaryota; Metazoa; Chordata; Mammalia; Rodentia; Sciuridae. The record is from Rfam by way of RNAcentral.
GAGGGUAUAGUUCAGCAGGUAGAGUGCUUGACUCGCAAGCACAAGGCCCUGGGUUCAAUCCCCAGCACCCCCU